This 2259-nucleotide ribosomal RNA is filed under the name Drosophila melanogaster (fruit fly). RNAcentral describes it as "eukaryotic LSU rRNA". It matches the Rfam family "Eukaryotic large subunit ribosomal RNA", at positions 1244 to 3183 of the family's 3401-position model. Lineage: Eukaryota; Metazoa; Arthropoda; Insecta; Diptera; Drosophilidae. The record is from RNAcentral.
GACGGUGAUCAUGGAAGUCGAAAUCCGCUAAGGAGUGUGUAACAACUCACCUGCCGAAGCAACUAGCCCUUAAAAUGGAUGGCGCUUAAGUUGUAUACCUAUACAUUACCGCUAAAGUAGAUGAUUUAUAUUACUUGUGAUAUAAAUUUUGAAACUUUAGUGAGUAGGAAGGUACAAUGGUAUGCGUAGAAGUGUUUGGCGUAAGCCUGCAUGGAGCUGCCAUUGGUACAGAUCUUGGUGGUAGUAGCAAAUAAUCGAAUGAGACCUUGGAGGACUGAAGUGGAGAAGGGUUUCGUGUGAACAGUGGUUGAUCACGAGUUAGUCGGUCCUAAGUUCAAGGCGAAAGCCGAAAAUUUUCAAGUAAAACAAAAAUGCCUAACUAUAUAAACAAAGCGAAUUAUAAUACACUUGAAUAAUUUUGAACGAAAGGGAAUACGGUUCCAAUUCCGUAACCUGUUGAGUAUCCGUUUGUUAUUAAAUAUGGGCCUCGUGCUCAUCCUGGCAACAGGAACGACCAUAAAGAAGCCGUCGAGAGAUAUCGGAAGAGUUUUCUUUUCUGUUUUAUAGCCGUACUACCAUGGAAGUCUUUCGCAGAGAGAUAUGGUAGAUGGGCUAGAAGAGCAUGACAUAUACUGUUGUGUCGAUAUUUUCUCCUCGGACCUUGAAAAUUUAUGGUGGGGACACGCAAACUUCUCAACAGGCCGUACCAAUAUCCGCAGCUGGUCUCCAAGGUGAAGAGUCUCUAGUCGAUAGAAUAAUGUAGGUAAGGGAAGUCGGCAAAUUAGAUCCGUAACUUCGGGAUAAGGAUUGGCUCUGAAGAUUGAGAUAGUCGCGGCUUGAUUGGGAAACAAUAACAUGGUUUAUGUGCUCGUUCUCGUGGGUAAAUAGAGUUUCUAGCAUUUAUGUUAGUUACUUGUUCCCCGGAUAGUUUAGUUACGUAGCCAAUUGUGGAACUUUCUUGCUAAAAUUUUUAAGAAUACUAUUUGGGUUAAACCAAUUAGUUCUUAUUAAUUAUAACGAUUAUCAAUUAACAAUCAAUUCAGAACUGGCACGGACUUGGGAAUCCGACUGUCUAAUUAAAACAAAGCAUUGUGAUGGCCCUAGCGGGUGUUGACACAAUGUGAUUUCUGCCAGUGCUCUGAAUGUCAAAGUGAAGAAAUUCAAGUAAGCGCGCGUCAACGCGCGGGAGUAACUAUGACUCUCUUAAGGUAGCCAAAUGCCUCGUCAUCUAAUUAGUGACGCGCAUGAAUGGAUUAACGAGAUUCCUACUGUCCCUAUCUACUAUCUAGCGAAACCACAGCCAAGGAACGGGCUUGGAAUAAUUAGCGGGAAAGAAGACCCUUUUGAGCUUGACUCUAAUCUGGCAGUGUAAGGAGACAUAAGAGGUGUAGAAUAAGUGGGAGAUAUUAGACCUCGGUUUGGUAUCGUCAAUGAAAUACCACUACUCUUAUUGUUUCCUUACUUACUUGAUUAAAUGGAACGUGUAUCAUUUCCUAGCCAUUAUACGGAUAUAUUUAUUAUAUCUUAUGGUAUUGGGUUUUGAUGCAAGCUUCUUGAUCAAAGUAUCACGAGUUUGUUAUAUAAUCGCAAACAAAUUCUUUAAUAAAACGAUGCAUUUAUGUAUUUUUGAUUUGAAAAUUUGGUAUAACUCCAAUUACUCAGGUAUGAUCCAAUUCAAGGACAUUGCCAGGUAGGGAGUUUGACUGGGCGGUACAUCUCUCAAAUAAUAACGGAGGUGUCCCAAGGCCAGCUCAGUGCGGACAGAAACCACACAUAGAGCAAAAGGGCAAAUGCUGACUUGAUCUCGGUGUUCAGUACACACAGGGACAGCAAAAGCUCGGCCUAUCGAUCCUUUUGGUUUAAAGAGUUUUUAACAAGAGGUGUCAGAAAAGUUACCAUAGGGAUAACUGGCUUGUGGCGGCCAAGCGUUCAUAGCGACGUCGCUUUUUGAUCCUUCGAUGUCGGCUCUUCCUAUCAUUGUGAAGCAAAAUUCACCAAGCGUUGGAUUGUUCACCCAUGCAAGGGAACGUGAGCUGGGUUUAGACCGUCGUGAGACAGGUUAGUUUUACCCUACUAAUGACAAAACGUUGUUGCGACAGCAUUCCUGCGUAGUACGAGAGGAACCGCAGGUACGGACCAAUGGCACAAUACUUGUUCGAGCGAACAGUGUAUGACGCUACUCUCGUUGGAUUAUCCUGAACGCCUCUAAGGUCGUAUCCGUGCUGGACUGCAAUGAUAAAUAAGGGCAAUUUGCAUUGU